AAAAACAUCGCCUCUUGAAUAAACCAUAAGAGGUCCAGCCUGCCCAGUGACAAAGUUAAACGGCCGCGGUACCCUAACCGUGCGAAGGUAGCGCAAUCACUUGUUCUUUAAAUGAGGACUAGUAUGAAUGGCAUCACGAGGGUUAUACUGUCUCCUUCCCCCAAUCAGUGAAACUGACCCCCCCGUGAAGAGGCGGGGAUAAGCCUAUAAGACGAGAAGACCCCAUGGAGCUUUAAACUCAGCACCACUUGCCACCCAUAUACACCAUUUUAACUMGGCAAACCUGACUGCUAGUUUUCGGUUGGGGUGACCGCGGAGCACAACAAAACCUCCACGAUGAAUGGACUUCACUUCCUAAUCAAAGAGCCACUACUCAAAGAAUCAAUAAACUGACAUAAAUUGAUCCAAUUUAUUUUGAUCAACGAACCAAGUUACCCUGGGGAUAACAGCGCAAUCCACUUCAAGAGCCCCUAUCGACAAGUGGGUUUACGACCUCGAUGUUGGAUCAGGGUAUCCUAGUGGUGCAGCCGCUACUAAUGGUUCGUUUGUUCAACGAUUAAAACCCUACGUGAUCUGAG
Molecule: ribosomal RNA, 578 nt
Filed under: Ramanella variegata (termite nest frog)
Lineage: Eukaryota; Metazoa; Chordata; Amphibia; Anura; Microhylidae
Description: partial 16S ribosomal RNA
Rfam family: Bacterial large subunit ribosomal RNA
Source: RNAcentral